UGAGACAAGUUGCCUUGUUAUAUAGGAUGC
RNAcentral lists this non-coding RNA (30 nucleotides) under Rattus norvegicus (Norway rat). The record is from RNAcentral. Lineage: Eukaryota; Metazoa; Chordata; Mammalia; Rodentia; Muridae.